GAUGAACGCUGGCGGCGUGCCUAAUACAUGCAAGUCGAGCGAACGGACGAGAAGCUUGCUUCUCUGAUGUUAGCGGCGGACGGGUGAGUAACACGUGGAUAACCUACCUAUAAGACUGGGAUAACCUCGGGAAACCGGAGCUAAUACCGGAUAAUAUUUUGAACCGCAUGGUUCAAAAGUGAAAGACGGUCUUGCUGUCACUUCUAGAUGGAUCCGCGCUGCAUUAGCUAGUUGGUAAGGUAACGGCUUACCACGGCAACGAUGCAUAGCCGACCUGAGGGGGUGAUCGGCCACCCUGGAAGUGAGACGCGGUCCAGACUCCUACGGGAGGCAGCAGUAGGGAAUCUUCCGCAAUGGGCGAAAGCCUGACGGAGCAACGCCACGUGAGUGAUGAAGGUCCUCGGAUCGUAAAACUCUGUUAUUAGGGAAGAACAUAUGUGUAAGUAACUGUGCACAUCUUGACGGUACCUAAUCAGAAAGCCACGGCUAACUACGUG
This 497-nucleotide ribosomal RNA is filed under the name uncultured bacterium. Its description in RNAcentral is "partial 16S ribosomal RNA". It matches the Rfam family "Bacterial small subunit ribosomal RNA", at positions 28 to 507 of the family's 1533-position model. The record is from RNAcentral.